Molecule: ribosomal RNA, 253 nt
Filed under: uncultured bacterium
Lineage: Bacteria
Description: partial 16S ribosomal RNA
Rfam family: Bacterial small subunit ribosomal RNA
Source: RNAcentral
UACGUAGGUGGCAAGCGUUGUCCGGAUUUACUGGGCGUAAAGAGCGCGCAGGCGGUCGUCCAAGUCGCGUGUGAAAGCCCCCGGCUCAACUGGGGAGGGUCACGCGAUACUGGUCGACUCGAAGGCAGGAGAGGGUAGUGGAAUUCCUGGUGUAGCGGUGAAAUGCGCAGAUAUCAGGAAGAACACCCGUGGCUAAGGCGGCUCUCUAGUACGGUACUGACGCUGAGACGCGAAAGCGUGGGGAGCGAACAGG